GACGAACGCUGGCGGCGUGCUUAACACAUGCAAGUCGAACGGAAAGGCCCUGCUUUUGUGUGGUGCUCGCGUGGCGAACGGGUGAGUAACACGUGAGUAACCUGCCCUUGACUUUGGGAUAACUUCAGGAAACUGGGGCUAAUACCGGAUAGGAGCUCCUGCUGCAUGGUGGGGGUUGGAAAGUUUCGGCGGUUGGGGAUGGACUCGCGGCUUAUCAGCUUGUUGGUGGGGUAGUGGCUUACCAAGGCUUUGACGGGUAGCCGGCCUGAGAGGGUGACCGGCCACAUUGGGGCUGAGAUACGGCCCAGACUCCUACGGGGGGCAGCAGUGGGGAAUAUUGCACAAUGGGCGGAAGCCUGAUGCAGCAACGCCGCGUGCGGGAUGACGGCCUUCGGGUUGUAAACCGCUUUCGCCUGUGACGAAGCGUGAGUGACGGUAAUGGGUAAAGAAGCACCGGCUAACUACGUG
This 468-nucleotide ribosomal RNA is filed under the name uncultured bacterium. RNAcentral's name for it is "partial 16S ribosomal RNA". It matches the Rfam family "Bacterial small subunit ribosomal RNA", at positions 28 to 507 of the family's 1533-position model. The record is from RNAcentral.